Molecule: transfer RNA, 69 nt
Filed under: Lactobacillus johnsonii
Lineage: Bacteria; Bacillati; Bacillota; Bacilli; Lactobacillales; Lactobacillaceae
Description: tRNA-Lys
Rfam family: tRNA (bases 4-63)
About the family: Transfer RNA (tRNA) molecules are approximately 80 nucleotides in length.
Source: RNAcentral
UCGUUAGCUCAGUUGGUAGAGCAUCUGACUUUUAAUCAGGGGGUCGGCAGUUCGAGUCUGACAGCCGGA